This is a long non-coding RNA of Dreissena polymorpha, 928 nucleotides long. RefSeq lists it as uncharacterized. The record is from RefSeq and is a predicted model, not a curated record. NCBI's taxonomy places the organism in Eukaryota, Metazoa, Mollusca, Bivalvia, Myida, Dreissenidae. The transcript has 3 exons.
AACACACAUCAACACUCAAAGGUAAAAUAGAGAUUGAGAUGCGUAAGAGGCAGUGAGAGAACAAAGCGAAAGCGACUGCAAUAAGUGAGAAUAGAGAGGAUACAAAGGAAUGAUAGAAGAUAGAGAGCUAAAAUAGAGAUUAAUAAGAUAAGAUUAAAUUUAAGCCGUUAGGCAUGCAGUGCAUAAGCUAUGGGGUCAACCCGGAAUGGAAAGUAGGCACUUGCCACCAUAUCGAGCCUGGAGCACGAGCAAACCCACACGUAAACGAAACUUAUGAGCAGAUGCAAUAAACAGAUAAUAGAAGAAAUGAGCCAGAGACUGAAAGAUAAAGAGGAUGAGAAAGAAACCAUCAAAGCAAAGGAAUACGCAAAUGAUUUAAGGUUCAACAAUACAGUAAGACCAGCAAUAUUAAGUCAGAUGGAGCACUGGACAAGAAAAACAAAACCUGCGUGGAAACAGCCGACAAAGUUAUAGAACUCCUCAAUCGACAAAUCCCGGACCUAAAACUAAGUUGCGACGACAUUGACAUUGCUCAUAGGAUUGGGCCUUCCAAUUUUCGAAAAAGCCGACCGAUAAUCAUGAAAAUAAUCUCGAGAAUGACAAAAUCCCAAGUAAUGAUAAACGCCAAAGCCUUACGUACAAUUAAAGACCCAGUGUAUGUGAAUGACCACGUAAUAAAGCUUAUUCUUCACUACUUGCUUGUGUUAGGAAAAAGCAGAGAUACAUUGUCGUGUCGACCUGGUCACGCGAGGGAAAUGUGUACUACCGUGACGUAAACGAGAUAGUACACAAAGUCAACCAACUACUACUACUACUACUAUUACUACUACUACUACUACUACUACUACUACUACUACUACUACUACUACUACUACUACUACUACUACUACUACUACUACUACUACUAGUAGUACUACCACUUCUUCUA